Molecule: long non-coding RNA, 1353 nt
Filed under: Coffea arabica (coffee)
Lineage: Eukaryota; Viridiplantae; Streptophyta; Magnoliopsida; Gentianales; Rubiaceae
Description: long non-coding RNA (CARA_LNC006056)
Source: RNAcentral
UUUGAAACAAAGGUAGAACUAAGGGGCUCAUUUGAAAUUUUAUAAGAAGUAUCAUCUUCUUCAAGGAAAUAUCAAAACGUUCUGGGCUUUUAUUUCUUCCUUUUUUUCAGAACAUUUUUCUGUUUUCCCUUUCCCCUUUGAUUUUUCUUUCUUUUUCUUGCCUCAUCAAUCCAGCCAACACCACCCUUUCAUUGCUGCCAUCAUCUCGCUAUCACCAUCUUGCCAUCUUCAUUUUCAACAGCAUCUCUAUCACCGCCGAUCUAGGCUCAUGACUUUUUCAUGUGUUCUUCUGUAAAAUUAAGAACCCAAAUCUAAGCAGCAACUUUUUUUGGAGACUUGGAUUGCUUAGUCUCUUUCUUCUCUGAAUCAUUAGUUUCUUAGGCAACAAAACCGGCUCUUUCAUCUAUAUCUUCAUCACCAAUCGUUCGAAGGUCUCAGCCCCAUCGCAGUUGAUUAGGACGAUCUGUCUCUCAGUAUUCCAAGCAAGCCAAGAGGGUCUUCACUCUCCAAUUACAUGAAGGCAGUGGACCUCGAUUUCUCCUCCUUGCCCGCCAGUUGAUUUUUCUUUUUUUGUUUCCCUUUUCCUUUCCUUCCAUCCGUUCUUCAACUGACACCACCGACAAAUGGCCAUCAUCAGAUCUAAUUUUGCUAUUCUUGUUUCUAUUGAAUUUGGGAUUAAUUUGAAGUUGAGAGCAGAGCCACUAUAUGAUUGAUAUGUUGAAGGCUUUAGGUGUUAGGUUGGGAUCAUUGAUUGAGAAUUUUUUGUUAAUAUUUUGAGACUAUUAGAUUGAGAAUUUUUGUUGUUAUUUUGCGCUCUAUCUAAUUGGAAAUUUUUUGGUGUUAUUUUGGGAUCAUUGAGCGUUGAAAUUAGUGAUGAUUGGUGGUAGAGUUGCUGGUGAUUGGUGGCGAUGGUGGAGCUACUGGUGAUCGGUGGUGGUACUGAUGAUGAUUGGUAUUCACUGGUGUCAUUGACCAGUUUGGUAGUGAGCAGGGAAGAAAUGGAGAAGGAAAAUAAACCAAAAAAAGGAAAGGAAAUGGCAAAAAACUGCAAAAUACUGAAUUGUCCUUGACAAUGUCACUUGAAACUCACUUAAUACACGCGUGUAUCACAAACUCCGUUAGUUUGGAUGCUUUUCAUCCAAGUUCCAAAGAAGUCCAAAGUAUAGGGAGGUUAUGUGUGGGUUUUUAAAUACUGAGGAAGUUUUAUGUACAAUAGGUAAACCACAGGGGGUUUUAUGUAUUUUACCCAAACUAAUAAUAGCCAGGAUAUGAUUCGAGUUCGUUGCAUCUAAUUAAUUUUCAUUCUUAGUUUCAAUAAUUUUAUAAAUUUUUAAUCUUUAAACAUUUUGUUCA